RNAcentral lists this long non-coding RNA (262 nucleotides) under Fukomys damarensis (Damara mole-rat). RNAcentral describes it as "lncRNA (ENSFDAG00000027368.1)". Lineage: Eukaryota; Metazoa; Chordata; Mammalia; Rodentia; Bathyergidae. The record is from RNAcentral.
GGAGAAGUUUGAGGGAUUCUCCAGUUGUGUCUUCCUCUGUACAGAAUUGGCCCGCAAUUUCACUUGUAUGUACCUUGUCUGCAUGCUGGAUAUUAUUGGUGAGUCAUAAAGCCUCGUGGGAAGGAGAGCAUACACAUCAGUUUGUAUUUGCUGGAGAACUUCUGGUCCACUCAAAAUGGGUGGUCUGACCUGUAUUUGGUAAGCAAGUUGAAGUAGCACACUGAGAACUGAUAGGUGCUGUUUUCCCAAUCCCCAAACAGGC